Molecule: non-coding RNA, 133 nt
Filed under: Daucus carota subsp. sativus
Lineage: Eukaryota; Viridiplantae; Streptophyta; Magnoliopsida; Apiales; Apiaceae
Description: Bacterial small subunit ribosomal RNA
Rfam family: Bacterial small subunit ribosomal RNA
Source: Rfam by way of RNAcentral
GAUGAGCGGCAUGAGCCUGCAUAGAAUUAAGUAGUUGGUCAGGUAAAUUCUGACCAAGCCAAUGAUGCUUAGCUGGUCUUUUCGGAUAAUCAGCCACACUGGGACUAAGACACGGCCCGGACUCCCACAGGAG